Molecule: transfer RNA, 74 nt
Filed under: Burkholderia mallei
Lineage: Bacteria; Pseudomonadati; Pseudomonadota; Betaproteobacteria; Burkholderiales; Burkholderiaceae
Description: tRNA-Asn
Rfam family: tRNA
About the family: Transfer RNA (tRNA) molecules are approximately 80 nucleotides in length. Their secondary structure includes four short double-helical elements and three loops (D, anti-codon, and T loops).
Source: RNAcentral
CCCGAUAGCUCAGUCGGUAGAGCGCCGGACUGUUAAUCCGUAGGUCCCUGGUUCGAGCCCAGGUCGGGGAGCCA